UCCCCAAGGCAUAUUAUACAUUCAUAAUACUAUGUGAGUGCAACUGUUUAUGUGCGUUUGUGUGUGUGAGGCUGUGUUUGUACUUGAAAUACCUGCCACGAGUUAUAAAUUAUCUGCACGAAAGCAGUAUGUACAAGUAUGUUUAUAUAUAUGUGUGUGUGUGUGUGUGUGU
Sander lucioperca (pikeperch) is the source of this 172-nucleotide long non-coding RNA. RefSeq lists it as uncharacterized. Lineage: Eukaryota; Metazoa; Chordata; Actinopteri; Perciformes; Percidae. The record is from RefSeq and is a predicted model, not a curated record. The transcript is spliced from 3 exons.